This 226-nucleotide long non-coding RNA is filed under the name Manihot esculenta (cassava). Its description in RNAcentral is "long non-coding RNA (MESC_LNC011394)". Lineage: Eukaryota; Viridiplantae; Streptophyta; Magnoliopsida; Malpighiales; Euphorbiaceae. The record is from RNAcentral.
CAUAUCACAUGGUAUCCAUGAUGCGUGAAUCAUGCUGAAAUAUUCAUCAUUUACUUUAAAACAUAAAGAGUUAUUCCACUCACCUCUGGCUAGCUCUGACCAGACACUGGAGCAGCUGACUCACUGCUGGGGUCCUCGGUUCCUCGGGUCCGAACCUACACAGGUGGACUCAAAUGAGGGACCAAACAUACAAGAACAUGACUCUAAAAUACUCUCCAAAAUCCCC